Molecule: ribosomal RNA, 2904 nt
Filed under: Escherichia coli
Lineage: Bacteria; Pseudomonadati; Pseudomonadota; Gammaproteobacteria; Enterobacterales; Enterobacteriaceae
Description: 23S ribosomal RNA
Rfam family: Bacterial large subunit ribosomal RNA
Source: RNAcentral
GGUUAAGCGACUAAGCGUACACGGUGGAUGCCCUGGCAGUCAGAGGCGAUGAAGGACGUGCUAAUCUGCGAUAAGCGUCGGUAAGGUGAUAUGAACCGUUAUAACCGGCGAUUUCCGAAUGGGGAAACCCAGUGUGAUUCGUCACACUAUCAUUAACUGAAUCCAUAGGUUAAUGAGGCGAACCGGGGGAACUGAAACAUCUAAGUACCCCGAGGAAAAGAAAUCAACCGAGAUUCCCCCAGUAGCGGCGAGCGAACGGGGAGCAGCCCAGAGCCUGAAUCAGUGUGUGUGUUAGUGGAAGCGUCUGGAAAGGCGUGCGAUACAGGGUGACAGCCCCGUACACAAAAAUGCACAUGCUGUGAGCUCGAUGAGUAGGGCGGGACACGUGGUAUCCUGUCUGAAUAUGGGGGGACCAUCCUCCAAGGCUAAAUACUCCUGACUGACCGAUAGUGAACCAGUACCGUGAGGGAAAGGCGAAAAGAACCCCGGCGAGGGGAGUGAAAAAGAACCUGAAACCGUGUACGUACAAGCAGUGGGAGCACGCUUAGGCGUGUGACUGCGUACCUUUUGUAUAAUGGGUCAGCGACUUAUAUUCUGUAGCAAGGUUAACCGAAUAGGGGAGCCGAAGGGAAACCGAGUCUUAACUGGGCGUUAAGUUGCAGGGUAUAGACCCGAAACCCGGUGAUCUAGCCAUGGGCAGGUUGAAGGUUGGGUAACACUAACUGGAGGACCGAACCGACUAAUGUUGAAAAAUUAGCGGAUGACUUGUGGCUGGGGGUGAAAGGCCAAUCAAACCGGGAGAUAGCUGGUUCUCCCCGAAAGCUAUUUAGGUAGCGCCUCGUGAAUUCAUCUCCGGGGGUAGAGCACUGUUUCGGCAAGGGGGUCAUCCCGACUUACCAACCCGAUGCAAACUGCGAAUACCGGAGAAUGUUAUCACGGGAGACACACGGCGGGUGCUAACGUCCGUCGUGAAGAGGGAAACAACCCAGACCGCCAGCUAAGGUCCCAAAGUCAUGGUUAAGUGGGAAACGAUGUGGGAAGGCCCAGACAGCCAGGAUGUUGGCUUAGAAGCAGCCAUCAUUUAAAGAAAGCGUAAUAGCUCACUGGUCGAGUCGGCCUGCGCGGAAGAUGUAACGGGGCUAAACCAUGCACCGAAGCUGCGGCAGCGACGCUGAUGCGUUGUUGGGUAGGGGAGCGUUCUGUAAGCCUGCGAAGGUGUGCUGUGAGGCAUGCUGGAGGUAUCAGAAGUGCGAAUGCUGACAUAAGUAACGAUAAAGCGGGUGAAAAGCCCGCUCGCCGGAAGACCAAGGGUUCCUGUCCAACGUUAAUCGGGGCAGGGUGAGUCGACCCCUAAGGCGAGGCCGAAAGGCGUAGUCGAUGGGAAACAGGUUAAUAUUCCUGUACUUGGUGUUACUGCGAAGGGGGGACGGAGAAGGCUAUGUUGGCCGGGCGACGGUUGUCCCGGUUUAAGCGUGUAGGCUGGUUUUCCAGGCAAAUCCGGAAAAUCAAGGCUGAGGCGUGAUGACGAAGCACUACGGUGCGGAAGCAACAAAUGCCCUGCUUCCAGGAAAAGCCUCUAAGCAUCAGGUAACAUCAAAUCGUACCCCAAACCGACACAGGUGGUCAGGUAGAGAAUACCAAGGCGCUUGAGAGAACUCGGGUGAAGGAACUAGGCAAAAUGGUGCCGUAACUUCGGGAGAAGGCACGCUGAUAUGUAGGUGAAGUCCCUCGCGGAUGGAGCUGAAAUCAGUCGAAGAUACCAGCUGGCUGCAACUGUUUAUUAAAAACACAGCACUGUGCAAACACGAAAGUGGACGUAUACGGUGUGACGCCUGCCCGGUGCCGGAAGGUUAAUUGAUGGGGUCAGCGCAAGCGAAGCUCUUGAUCGAAGCCCCGGUAAACGGCGGCCGUAACUAUAACGGUCCUAAGGUAGCGAAAUUCCUUGUCGGGUAAGUUCCGACCUGCACGAAUGGCGUAAUGAUGGCCAGGCUGUCUCCACCCGAGACUCAGUGAAAUUGAACUCGCUGUGAAGAUGCAGUGUACCCGCGGCAAGACGGAAAGACCCCGUGAACCUUUACUAUAGCUUGACACUGAACAUUGAGCCUUGAUGUGUAGGAUAGGUGGGAGGCUUUGAAGUGUGGACGCCAGUCUGCAUGGAGCCGACCUUGAAAUACCACCCUUUAAUGUUUGAUGUUCUAACGUUGACCCGUGAUCCGGGUUGCGGACAGUGUCUGGUGGGUAGUUUGACUGGGGCGGUCUCCUCCUAAAGAGUAACGGAGGAGCACGAAGGUUGGCUAAUCCUGGUCGGACAUCAGGAGGUUAGUGCAAUGGCAUAAGCCAGCUUGACUGCGAGCGUGACGGCGCGAGCAGGUGCGAAAGCAGGUCAUAGUGAUCCGGUGGUUCUGAAUGGAAGGGCCAUCGCUCAACGGAUAAAAGGUACUCCGGGGAUAACAGGCUGAUACCGCCCAAGAGUUCAUAUCGACGGCGGUGUUUGGCACCUCGAUGUCGGCUCAUCACAUCCUGGGGCUGAAGUAGGUCCCAAGGGUAUGGCUGUUCGCCAUUUAAAGUGGUACGCGAGCUGGGUUUAGAACGUCGUGAGACAGUUCGGUCCCUAUCUGCCGUGGGCGCUGGAGAACUGAGGGGGGCUGCUCCUAGUACGAGAGGACCGGAGUGGACGCAUCACUGGUGUUCGGGUUGUCAUGCCAAUGGCACUGCCCGGUAGCUAAAUGCGGAAGAGAUAAGUGCUGAAAGCAUCUAAGCACGAAACUUGCCCCGAGAUGAGUUCUCCCUGACUCCUUGAGAGUCCUGAAGGAACGUUGAAGACGACGACGUUGAUAGGCCGGGUGUGUAAGCGCAGCGAUGCGUUGAGCUAACCGGUACUAAUGAACCGUGAGGCUUAACCUU